Columba livia (rock pigeon) is the source of this 5725-nucleotide RNA transcript. It is a transcript of the gene named nectin cell adhesion molecule 3, with no coding region annotated. The record is from RefSeq and is a predicted model, not a curated record. NCBI's taxonomy places the organism in Eukaryota, Metazoa, Chordata, Aves, Columbiformes, Columbidae. The transcript is spliced from 9 exons.
UGGGGGGAUAGGGGUCGAGAUAGACGCGCGCGGCACACACCUUCAUCCCCGCCCCCCCCUCCCCGCGGCGGGGUGGUGUGGCCCGCUCUGAGGAGGGCGGGGAGCGGCGCGCAGCGCCUGCUUGCUCAGUGACACACGCACCCGUUGCGGGGAGGCGGCGGCUGGUUGGGAAGAGAGUGAGCGGGCGGGUGUCGUAGCGGCGGCGACUGGGAGCUGAGCCCGGAGCAUGGCAGAGGCCGAAGCCGCUGCGGAGGCUGCUGCUGGUUUCUCCCCUUCGCCGCCUCCUCCCGCCUGCCGAGAACUUUUUCCAGCGGCCGGCGGCCGUGCUUCCCCCCGGUGGUGGUGGCAGCAGCGGCGGCGGCGGCAGCGGCGGCUCCGCUCGGCGGUGUCUCUCGGGCCAGGGCUGGGGCUGCUGGGGCUGGUUUUCUCUCGUUUCUGCUGCAGUGCCUUAGCUGGACCAGUUGUUGAUCCACAUGUGACAGCAGUUUGGGGGAAGAAGGUUGCUCUGAAAUGCAUAAUUGAUGUAAAUGAAACAAUAACACAAGUUUCUUGGGAGAAGAUACAUGGUAAAAGUUCACAGACUAUUGCUGUUCAUCAUCCUGAAUAUGGAAUAUCUGUUCAAGGAGAAUACCAAGGAAGGGUGUCAUUUAAAAACUAUUCACUUACUGAUGCAACAAUCGUCUUAAGAAAUGUAAGCUUUUCUGAUGCAGGAGAAUAUAUUUGCAAGGCAGUUACAUUCCCGCUUGGAAAUACACAGUCAUCAACAACUGUAACAGUACUGGUUGAACCUAUUGUGAGCUUAACGAAAGGACCAGGCCCUCUAAUAGACGGUGCAAAUAGGACAGUAGCAGCGACUUGUACAGCAGCCACUGGAAAACCUGCUGCAGAGAUUGAAUGGGAAGGAGGUCUUGGUGAAAUGGAAUCCAGCUCUACUUUGUUUCCAAAUGAAACAGUGACAGUUGUCAGUCAGUAUAUGAUUGUCCCUACACGCUUUGCAAGAGGAAGACGUAUAACUUGUAUUGUGAGGCACCCUGCUUUGGAAAAGGAGAUGAGAUACACUCAUGUAUUGGACAUACAGUAUGCCCCAGAAGUUUCCAUAACUGGCUAUGAUGGAAACUGGUUCAUUGGAAGAGAGAACGUUCAGCUCAGAUGUAAUGCUGAUGCAAAUCCAUUACCUAUGGAAUUUAUGUGGACCAGGUUGGAUGGACAGUGGCCUGAAGGAUUGCUAUCUGUCAACAACACCCUACAGUUCAGUAACCCAUUGACUUACAACUACACUGGGACUUACAUCUGUAAGGUGACUAAUGCCCUUGGUCAGAAAAGUGAUCAGAAGACCAUCUACAUAUUGGAUGUGCCAUUUAAGCAGACAUCUUCUGUUGCUGUAGCAGGGGCUGUGAUUGGAGCAGUCCUUGCUCUUUUUAUCAUUACCAUCUUUGUGACAGUGCUGCUGACCCCAAGGAAAAAAAGGCCAUCCUAUCUUGAUAAAGUGAUUGAUCUUCCACCCACUCAGAAACCAUCCUCAUGUGAUGAAAGAGCAUGCUCUGUACCACAGAAAGAAGUUAUGCUUCAGAACUAUUUCUUGCAUGCAAUGUGAAAGAGCAGCGAGCAGCCUGAAGGCCAUGUCCUUGGUGAGAGAGGGAUUUCUACUUGGCAACUGAGUUUUCAGGAGGAUCAAGAGGAAGUGGAACAAUGGAAGAAUUCCAGUGGCUUGAAGAGGAAUUUGUCUGUUGCAUAAUAUUUAUAAAAGCAGUGGGAAAGAAGUGCGCAAGUUCAAGCAAUCCUUUGAAUCAUUACAGUUAAUUUCACUAUGUUUCAAAUAAAAUGUCACUAAGAAGUAGAACUUAUUUACUUGCCUAGAAACACAACUGAAAUGGAGUCUUUGACACUGUGAAAUAACUCAAGUUGUGGGUGGUUGACAGGUGCUUCUGAAGGAAAGAGGAAAAAAUGUUGCUUGGUAUAAUGCAAUGCAUGAAUGUUCAGAGUUCUUAAAACAUUCAGAAAUUAAUAAGGCUUUUUUGUAGCAACAGAAAUAAAAGUAGAGAAGGGAAAUUGCAUCCCUGUAGGUAAUUCUAGCCAUGAGAAGACUGACUUUAGACUUGCAACUUUUAAGAACACCUCACAUAUUUAGCCAAGCAACCCUAUCAAACACUAAAGCUCUUUAAAGGUAAUAUUUGUAUUCAUAUUGAACAUGAGAAAGAAGAUGGUGAAAUUGUAUUAGCACAGUUAAAAUCAUAUAACACCGUUUACUAGAUUAUUAUAAUUCUGGAUCACUGACAGUACUUCUAAACCUAGUGUCAUGUCGACUCAUUUCCAGCCUAAACAAUUCUAUGAUUCUAUAAAAUGUAAAGGUAAGACAAUGCAAACUCUUGUAAGUAUCAAAGCACAACACCCCAGAUAUACUGCAUAGGAACACCGUAACUCAGCACCAGCUUUCUUUGACAGAACCUGACGAUUUGGUUCUAUCACUUGCUUCGUGGCAGGAAAAGGUCCAGCUCCCGUUUCUAGCAAGGCUGUUGUGCUUUCAUGCCAUGCGAGAUUAUUUCCCUUGUCUCUAGUUUUAAUUGAAUAAAUACACCCACUGGAAUUUCCCAUUCUGGUUUCCAGUGUUUAUUUAAAUCCUAUCUGUGUCUGCUGUUGGUAGAAAUGAAUGUGGAAAAGUAAAAUGUGAAGGGGAAGGAAGAAAAAAGAAUGAAACAUUACUUGAGAUUGGUGGUGUUGCUGCCACUGUGGAGCUGUUGGGAAAAGCAGUGAUUAUGAAACAAAUGUGCAAUUGUGCAAAAGCAAUUGCUGUACCCUAUCAUGCCCCUAAACUAGUAGCUAAGUGUGGCAUAGAGGGAAGAACUUAAUUAGGAGUGAUGAUACCAUAGUGUAAGCUGUUACCCUAAGUCAUAAUUCUCAGAUAGCAUUGCUUGUUAUGAUUAGAGUUUGCCAUCCAUUAGCUCAGGUGGUGAUUAACUGCAUGUUUAAUUGUUUCAGUAACAAAGUUAAUCCAUCAUAAUGGUGACAAAAAACUUUGGAAAGGAAGGGAUGGUUUUGAAUCUUUUGUAGAGUAACUGACAUCAUAAUCAAUAUAUUGCUUAGCUCUAAUGUAAAACUUGUGGUGUAAUAUUAAUUUUUAAAAAGAAAGCUAGUGCUCAUGUAGGUGUAUUGUUGAAAGCUAAACUGAUUUUUAGAAACAUAAUUAUUCCCCAAAGAUUUUGCCAAUAUAUUUGAAACAGAACAUGGAUGUAUUUCUGGUAUGGUUCUGAAAGCCAUUUGAGGUGUGAAAGGGAUAAGUGAGCUGACUGGUGGAACUGGGCAAAUGGAUAAGAAUCACCUUAUUAAACUCAAAGCAAACAGAAAUCACAGUGUUAUUUCUGAAAUGUUUGUGAGAAAGAUACUGGUUCUUGAUAAUUUCAUAAAUGUAUCAAUCUACUGCAGUAAUAAUAUAUGCAGACCUCUGUUUAUGUUUCAGAUUUAACCAGUAGGUGUUUUCAGACAUUGCAUUUAAUAUUCAGGAAAACUAUGUUUGUCUUGAAUGAGGUUUUAAACUCCUACUUAUUCAAACUUCUUUGUUACAGAACAGGAGGGAGGGAGAAUUCCUAAUCUGUAAUGUCUCAGUUUUCUGAAUGCCUAGAAUGGGACAAAUAAUUUAUAGUUGUUCUUCUGUUUUCUCCCUAUAGUGCCAUUAGGCACUAGUGUAACUGUAAAAAUAUUGAGUUUACGUGCCUUUUAGUGAAGUGUUACUUGCCACAAAGGCGGGAAGUGGUUCAGAUCAAAACUGACCCCUCUGAGAGCGAGCUGACUUAAUUGUAGAAAGGUUUUCUGCUCAUGAGGAAGUGUUUUUAGUUGUGCUAAAUCUUCCCUGGAAAAAAUACCUUCAUCUGGAGAGAUGCAUAGUUACAGUACAGUGUUUCUUUUGUAGAACUAAGGUUGAAAAGAAGAAAGUGCAACUUCUGAUAGAGUUUAAAACUGUAAAUGCCUAACAAAGAACUGAGUUCCUUGGGCUUUGAAAGUAGGCGUUCAAGUGUGCUGUCUGUAGCAUGUGCAGUGUAUUCAUUAGAUGGAGCCCAGAAAAAGGACAAGGAAGCAUUUCUUCCUGAAAUGGGUAGAAAUUUGUCUCCCAGAUAUAAUCACAUUAGAGGUAAGUAUAUAAACCUAUACAAAAUGACAAGUUGCAUUUUAAUUAAUGGUUUUGUAAAUAAGUUAGUUUUUUUGUUAGCCUAUGAAUGAAACUCUUACCACUUGCAAGGGCGGGGCAUAGAGUUUCAAAUGAUUACCACUUGAUAACCCAUUAAACUGUAAAUUUUUAUGUAAUUGUGACACGUUGCCAUUGUGAAAUGUAGUGCUUUGAAAUUGUUUCCAUCUUUUUGAAACACACUGUACAUUGAUUUUGGUGGUGAGACUGUUCUUUAGGAACCACAGAAGGACAAAUAACUGCAGAACAAAGCUACUCCAGGGCUACUUGUGUAAGUAGGAGGGGGAGUCGGGGAGCAGGACCCAUCCAAUUGUCUUUUUUUUCUCCCUGUUUUAGCACAGCCAAGGUUUCAAACAGCUCACGGGAUUAAUGAAUUGAGCAAUGGACUCUUAUCUGAAUUGCAGAAGAAUUUACUGCUGUACAUGGCUAUGUUUUUAUUAGCAAGCUGUGCUGAACAGUAGGAGCAGACCUACAGUUGCCGUUCAGAUAUAGGGUGUUCAUGAGAUGCACAUUUGGGGGGAUGUUACUUGCUAUCAGCUAUUGUCUUGACCUAUGAAUAGAAUGAUAAUUAGUUUCUGAUGUACAACUAGCUAUUAGGCCUUGCUAGACCUCUGAAGUAAUAUUUUGGAGAGAUAUGCUUUCAGAAACAAGUUUUUAGGCUUCACAGAAAAAGGUGGUAGUAAAAUGUCUAGGCAGUGUGGACUCUUAGUUGGAAAAUUAGUUAGCAAAACGAACUUUGAGACAAGUUGUAAAUGAGUUUAAUUUUGCUGAAAAGUGUUGCCUUUGUUUUGUGUAGUCUCAUUAGAAGUUUUUGAUUUUUCACUAGGAAGUACUUUUCUUAGUUUGAUAGAAUUAAACAACAGAAAUGUACUCCCUUUUACUCUCAGUAGUCUACAAUUAAAUUCCUUUUUGGUUACAUACUUUUGCGCAGUAUCAGACUCAGCAUUUAUCCAUAUGAUAGUCGUGAAAACUUUUGAACUGAUUUUGGAUUUUGCGUUUGUUUUAACCCGUGGCUUAUCUAAAAAUCAAUGUUAUCUUAAAAUUAAAAAAAAGCUUUUUAGUUGUUCUCAAACAUGCCUGUGCUUAAAUAAAGUACAAAUUAAAUAUAUGUAAACAACACUUACUAAAUUGACAACAGCAUAUUCUUUCUGCCAGAGACUAGCUUGUGAGAAGUGUUCUAAAUGGUAGUCACUUAAGACACUUCACAAGGUAGAGUGUAUUUUGUGGUGACUGGCAUUUUUGUAUAAACCAAACAUGUUCUGCAGUGUUGAAUUUUGACUUGUGUCCACUGUAACUUUUAUUCUUUCAGAAAGAACAUUUUGCUUUGCAAAACCAGUACAGAGAGAAAGAUGCUGGAAACUUGCAGCACAUGAAAGCUAUGAAUGGAAGACAACUUAUUUGUGAUGUUGAAGAGCCACAGGAACAAGAGGGUCUUCAGCAUAUGUAUCCUGCUUAUCAGCAAACAUACUACAAAAACUGGAGCAGCAGAUACCCACAAAACUCAGGACCUGGAAGAGUCUACAUCAAUCCAAGGGAGCAUUAUGUAUG